RNAcentral lists this long non-coding RNA (955 nucleotides) under Monodelphis domestica (gray short-tailed opossum). RNAcentral describes it as "lncRNA (ENSMODG00000032759.2)". Lineage: Eukaryota; Metazoa; Chordata; Mammalia; Didelphimorphia; Didelphidae. The record is from RNAcentral.
UACCAGAAUAGUCCUUGGCUAUAUCCAUAUAUAUAUAUAUAUAAUUUAUACAUUGUGCCUUCAAAGCCUUAGCACAAUUUUAAGCUUUAAUAACUUUUUUUUAAAUGGGGGGGAGCAGGGGGGAGCUAGAUUGCUCAGUGGUUUGAGAGCCAAGUAUUAACCAGAGAUGUGAUAUAAGCCCAGGUCCUAUAAACUCCAGUUACUGUUAUUUCCACUGCGUUAUACUGCCUUCCAUUCUGAUGUUUCAGACUGCAUAGGAAUAUCUGGAAGACCCCAUCUUCUAUAAGGGGAAUCCCACUGGAGAUCCACACUGGACAUCCCAUAUACUGGACAUUGCAUAUUCCAUACUGCAAUGGAAACAGAAAAUAAUAAUGUGUUAGAGUUGGAAGAGAUUUUGAAGUCUUCAAAUAGAAUCUUAAUUAUACUUGAUGAAAAACCACCUCUGCAACAUAGAAGUGGUUAUUUAGUCUUUGUUUGAAGAUCUCCAAAGAGGAAGAACUGAAUACAUCCUAAGCUGGUCUCUUUUAGUUCAAAAUAUAUUAUCCCAUGAAUUCGAUUUCACUGAAGGCUGCCUACAAAUAGGAUGUAACCCAGAGGCAGAGGUUGGAAAUUCAAGAAGAUUUGGCAUUAAGAAACCUGUAGCUCCAGGAAAUAGACAGGACAACAGAACAGAGAACAAAAUGGAUAUAAGUGGAACCAAAGAAGAAUUUCAGAGAUAUACUUUACAUAAACCUUACUCUGGUAUCCUUCAUUGUAAACGACAUUAUUAUAAGCAUUAUUUUAUGGUGAUCUAAGUUCUACAUUAUAAUAAUAGUAAUUUUUGAGUUACUAAUGUGAAUUUAAUUCUCUUUAAUAUUAAGAUUUUAAAGAAUUUAUUUGUUUAAACUACUAAUAUUUUGAAUCAGUUGAGAAAAAUUAUUGCAAUAAAUAUCUGUUGCAUGCCUUUUAUGUACCA